Molecule: ribosomal RNA, 834 nt
Filed under: uncultured bacterium
Lineage: Bacteria
Description: bacterial SSU rRNA
Rfam family: Bacterial small subunit ribosomal RNA
Source: RNAcentral
UCUANCGGCUUAACCGUUAAACUGCUUGGGAAACUGAUAAUCUAGAGUAAGGGAGAGGCAGAUGGAAUUCUUGGUGUAGGGGUAAAAUCCGUAGAUAUCAAGAAGAAUACNUAUUGCGAAGGCGAUCUGCUGGAACUUAACUGACGCUAAUGCGUGAAAGCGUGGGGAGCAAACAGGAUUAGAUACCCUGGUAGUCCACGCCCUAAACGAUGUAUACCGGUUGUUGCUGUGCUAGUCACGGCAGUAAUCCACCUAACGGAUUAAGUAUACCGCCUGGGGAGUACGGUCGCAAGAUUAAAACUCAAAGGAAUAGACGGGGACCCGCACAAGCGGUGGAGCAUGUGGUUUAAUUCGAAGAUACGCGAAGAACCUUACCCGGACUUGAUAUCUAACAAAUCAUCCAGAGAUGGAAGAGUGUCUGCUUGCAGAAAUGUUAAGACAGGUGCUGCACGGCUGUCGUCAGCUCGUGUCGUGAGGUGUUGGGUUAAGUCCCGCAACGAGCGCAACCCACGUCAUUAGUUGCUAACGGUUCGGCCGAGCACUCUAAUGAGACUGCCUUCGUAAGGAGGAGGAAGGUGUGGACAACGUCAAGUCAUCAUGGCCCUUAUGUCCGGGGCGACACACGUGCUACAAUGGCAUAUACAAUAAGACGCAAUAUCGUAAGAUGGAGCAAAUCUAAAAAAUAUGUCCCAGUUCGGAUUGGAGUCUGCAACUCGACUCCAUGAAGCCGGAAUCGCUAGUAAUCGUAGAUCAGCCAUGCUACGGUGAAUACGUUCCCGGGUCUUGUACUCACCGCCCGUCACACCAUGGGAGUUGAUUUCACUCGAAGCGGGA